GAUGAACGCUAGCGGCAGGCUUAAUACAUGCAAGUCGAGGGGCAGCAGCUCUGUAGCAAUACAGAGGCUGGCGACCGGCAAACGGGUGCGGAACACGUACGCAACUUACCCAUAACUGGUGAAUAGCCCUCCGAAAGGAGGAUUAAUACAUCGUAACAUAAUGAGAUGGCAUCAUUUUUAUUAUUAUAGCUCUCGGGCGGUUAUGGAUGGGCGUGCGGCUGAUAGGUAGUUGGCGGAGUAAUAGCCCACCAAGCCAACGAUCAGUACUGGUGUGAGAGCACGACCAGUCACACGGGCACU
Molecule: ribosomal RNA, 300 nt
Filed under: uncultured bacterium
Lineage: Bacteria
Description: bacterial SSU rRNA
Rfam family: Bacterial small subunit ribosomal RNA
Source: RNAcentral